UGGGGAAUUUUGGACAAUGGGCGCAAGCCUGAUCCAGCCAUGCCGCGUGGGUGAAGAAGGCCUUCGGGUUGUAAAGCCCUUUCGGCUGGGACGAAAAGGUUCGGGUUAAUAACCCGGAUCCAUGACGGUACCAGCAGAAGAAGCACCGGCUAACUACGUGCCAGCAGCCGCGGUAAUACGUAGGGUGCAGGCGUUAAUCGGAAUUACUGGGCGUAAAGCGUGCGCAGGCGGUCUGCUAAGAGAGGUGUGAAAUCCCCGGGCUUAACCUGGGAACUGCGCUUCUAACUGGCAGGCUUGAGUGUGGCAGAGGGGGGUGGAAUUCCACGUGUAGCAGUGAAAUGCGUAGAGAUGUGGAGGAACACCGAUGGCGAAGGCAGCCCCCUGGGCUAACACUGACGCUCAUGCACGAAAGCGUGGGGAGCAAACAGGAUUAGAUACCCGCGUAGUCC
This 449-nucleotide ribosomal RNA is filed under the name uncultured bacterium. RNAcentral's name for it is "bacterial SSU rRNA". It matches the Rfam family "Bacterial small subunit ribosomal RNA", at positions 355 to 796 of the family's 1533-position model. The record is from RNAcentral.